UCCGGCUUGCCACCGGCAGUUCCACUAGAGUGCCCAGCUUAACCUGAUGGCAACUAGUAGCGAGGGUUGCGCUCGUUGCGGGACUUAACCCAACAUCUCACGACACGAGCUGACGACAGCCAUGCAGCACCUGUGUUCCGAUUCCCUUUCGGGCACGCCCGCCUCUCAGCGGGCUUCCGGACAUGUCAAGGGUAGGUAAGGUUGUUCGCGUUGCAUCGAAUUAAACCACAUACUCCACCGCUUGUGCGGGCCCCCGUCAAUUUCUUUGAGUUUUAAUCUUGCGACCGUACUCCCCAGGCGGAUAACUUAAUGCGUUAGCUGCGCCACCCAAGCACCAAGUGCCCGGACAGCUAGCCAUCAUCGUUUACGGCGUGGACUAC
RNAcentral lists this unclassified non-coding RNA (380 nucleotides) under uncultured Pseudomonadota bacterium. RNAcentral's name for it is "uncultured proteobacterium contains 16S-23S intergenic spacer region". The record is from RNAcentral. Lineage: Bacteria; Pseudomonadati; Pseudomonadota.